UGGGGAAUAUUGGACAAUGGGGGGAACCCUGAUCCAGCCAUGCCGCGUGUGUGAAGAAGGCCUUAUGGUUGUAAAGCACUUUAAGCGAGGAGGAGGGUACUGGUAUUAAUACUACCAGGUACUGGACGUUACUCGCAGAAUAAGCACCGGCUAACUCUGUGCCAGCAGCCGCGGUAAUACAGAGGGUGCGAGCGUUAAUCGGAUUUACUGGGCGUAAAGCGUGCGUAGGCGGCUAAUUGAGUCGGAUGUGAAAUCCCCGAGCUUAACUUGGGAAUUGCAUUCGGUACUGGUUAGCUAGAGUGUGGGAGAGAAUGGUAGAAUUCCAGGUGUAGCGGUGAAAUGCGUAGAGAUCUGGAGGAAUACCGAUGGCGAAGGCAGCCAUCUGGCCUAACACUGACGCUGAGGUACGAAAGCAUGGGGAGCAAACAGG
This 430-nucleotide ribosomal RNA is filed under the name Pseudomonadota bacterium. Its description in RNAcentral is "Proteobacteria bacterium partial 16S ribosomal RNA". It matches the Rfam family "Bacterial small subunit ribosomal RNA", at positions 355 to 776 of the family's 1533-position model. Lineage: Bacteria; Pseudomonadati; Pseudomonadota. The record is from RNAcentral.